This 407-nucleotide ribosomal RNA is filed under the name uncultured Acidothermus sp. Its description in RNAcentral is "bacterial SSU rRNA". It matches the Rfam family "Bacterial small subunit ribosomal RNA", at positions 355 to 774 of the family's 1533-position model. Lineage: Bacteria; Bacillati; Actinomycetota; Actinomycetes; Acidothermales; Acidothermaceae. The record is from RNAcentral.
UGGGGAAUAUUGCGCAAUGGGCGGAAGCCUGACGCAGCGACGCCGCGUGGGGGAUGAAGGCCUUCGGGUUGUAAACCCCUUUCAGCAGGGACGAAGCGGAAGUGACGGUACCUGCAGAAGAAGCGCCGGCUAACUACGUGCCAGCAGCCGCGGUAACACGUAGGGCGCAAGCGUUGUCCGGAAUUAUUGGGCGUAAAGAGCUCGUAGGUGGUCUGUUGCGUCCGCUGUGAAAUCUCAGGGCUUAACCCUGAGCCUGCAGUGGAUACGGGCAGACUAGAGGUAGGUAGGGGAGAAUGGAAUUCCUGGUGUAGCGGUGAAAUGCGCAGAUAUCAGGAGGAACACCGGUGGCGAAGGCGGUUCUCUGGGCCUUACCUGACACUGAGGAGCGAAAGCGUGGGGAGCGAACA